RNAcentral lists this ribosomal RNA (468 nucleotides) under uncultured bacterium. RNAcentral describes it as "partial 16S ribosomal RNA". It matches the Rfam family "Bacterial small subunit ribosomal RNA", at positions 28 to 507 of the family's 1533-position model. The record is from RNAcentral.
GACGAACGCUGGCGGCGUGCUUAACGCAUGCAAGUCGAACGGAAAGGCCCUGCUUGUGUGGGGUGCUCGAGUGGCGAACGGGUGAGUAACACGUGAGUAACCUGCCCUGGACUUUGGGAUAACUUCAGGAAACUGGGGCUAAUACCGGAUAGGAGCUCCUGCUGCAUGGUGGGGGUUGGAAAGUUUCGGCGGUUGGGGAUGGACUCGCGGCUUAUCAGCUUGUUGGUGGGGUAGUGGCUUACCAAGGCUUUGACGGGUAGCCGGCCUGAGAGGGUGACCGGCGACAUUGGGACUGAGAUACGGCCCAGACUCCUACGGGAGGCAGCGGUGGGGAAUAUUGCACAGUGGGCGGGAGCCUGAUGCAGCAACGCCGCGUGCGGGAUGACGGCCUUCGGGUUGUAAACCGCUUUCGCCUGUGACGAAGCGUGAGUGACGGUAAUGGGUGAAGAAGCACCGGCUAACUACGUG